Artibeus jamaicensis (Jamaican fruit-eating bat) is the source of this 397-nucleotide long non-coding RNA. RefSeq lists it as uncharacterized. NCBI's taxonomy places the organism in Eukaryota, Metazoa, Chordata, Mammalia, Chiroptera, Phyllostomidae. The transcript has 3 exons. The record is from RefSeq and is a predicted model, not a curated record.
UGGUGUUUGUCCUUUCGUGACUGGCUCAUUUUGCUUAGCAUAAUGUCCUCAGGGUUCAUUCAGGUUGUAGUGAGUGAGAGGAUUCCUCUUCUUUAAAAGGCUGAAUGACCUUCCAUCUUGAGCCUAGACAUACUUUGUUUAUCCAUUUGUCCGCCUCAGCGGACUUUUGAGUCACUUUAACCUCUUGGCCGCUGUAAACCGUGUUGCUAUAAACUGUUCCAUCGAAUGGAUACACCCCAUUAAACCUGGUCCCUGUGGAUGCUGCCACUGUUCAUUACCAUCACAUCUAAGAGCACACUGAUGCCCAGUGGCCAUGAAGACAGAAGCGAAACCACAGUGAAGAGAAGGCUUCUUAGAAGAUGUAGUCCCGAAAUGACAUACAUCACAUCCGCUGCAU